RNAcentral lists this ribosomal RNA (2797 nucleotides) under Rhodotorula mucilaginosa. RNAcentral describes it as "bacterial LSU rRNA". It matches the Rfam family "Bacterial large subunit ribosomal RNA". The record is from RNAcentral. Lineage: Eukaryota; Fungi; Basidiomycota; Microbotryomycetes; Sporidiobolales; Sporidiobolaceae.
CAUUGAUGAGAUAAGUAUCGAUAUCAAUGUGGAAUCUAUCGUCAAGUGACUAAAGGGAUUGUUAGGGAUGACUAGCAAACGUAUCAGAAGAGAAGUGGAAACACUAAAUGGACUAAACAUGUCCGAUCUCAAGGGAAACCAUAUAGCACAUAUGUGUAUGACUACGGACUGAACCGAAACAUCGUAGUAAGUCUAGGAAAGGAAAUCAACCGAGACCCUGUGAGUAGCGGCGAGCGAACGCAGGAUAGCCUAGUAAUAGUGAUUAGUAGAUCCAAUACUCUGGAAUGGGUAGAAGCAUAGUAAUAUGUACCAUAGAAGGUUAUAGUCCUGUAGAACUACUACUCUAUUACAACUAGCUAAGUACCUUAAUUUUGUAUAAAGUUCUGGCUUCUUAGUGAGUAGGGCGGCAUCAAACCUGCCCGAAUAAGGGUGCACCAUCAUCCAAGGCUAAGUAUGAUACGUUUAGCGAUAGUGAAUAGUACUGUGAAGGAAAGUUUAAAAGAAAGUCGAUGACUAGUGAAACAGAGCCUGAACUAGCAAUCCUAUAAGCAGACAGAGCAUUAAUGUGUGAUGUCGUACCUUUUGCAUAAUGGGUCAGCAAGUUUGUGUUACAGGUAAGGUGAAAGCCCUAGCGAAAGCGACUAUUUGUAACUUAAGUUAUGAAUGGGUUGAAUCUGUAGUACAAGACCCGAAACAUCUUGAUCUAUCCAUGGGCAGGUAUAUAGGACCGAACCAGUGUACGUUGCAUAGUACUUGGAUGACCUGUGGAUAGGAGUGAAAUGCUAAUCUAAAGAUGUGAUAGCUGGUUCUCUGCGAAAUGCAUUGCAGUGCAGCGUCAAUGUUAGCUUAUGGUAGGUACAGCACUGAUUGACAUACGGUUUUACCGUUGACUAGGGGGGCGUAACAGCUCUAUCUAGGUCAGUUAACCUCGGAAUGACUAUAAGUGAUCAUUGGCAGUGAGUCCUAGGGUGAUAAGGUCUUAGGACGAGAGGGAAACAGCCCAAACAGUGUGUUAAGGUCCCAAAGAUAUUGACAAGUGAAAUUAAGGAAGUGCAUUGCUUUAGACAGCCAUGAUGUGGGAUUGGAAGCGUCCAUCAUUUAAAGAAAGCGUAACAGCUCAGUGGUCUAUCUCUAGAGUAAUCUAGAAUGGCAGUGUGCGCCGAAGAUAUACCGGGUCUAAUCAAUACACCAAUACCACUGUCUAGUAUCUAUAUUCAAUAUCGAUACUAAGAGGUAGCAGAGCGUCCAGUACCAAUGAAGAGCAGUAUGUUAUUGUUUGGAGGUCACUGGAGUGAGGAUGCUGGCAUGAGUAGCAAGAAUGGAUGUUAAAUCAUCCACACCGAAAGAGGAAGGGUUCUGAGGGCAAGUUACACUGCCUCAGGUUAUAAGCGGUGUCUAAGGAGUUAGCCAAUGCGAAACUCCGAUGAUUAUAUUGCAGAACGGGCUCAUAACUGAGAUCCAGGAAAAGAAUGCAAUUUUACUACCGUACCUUAAACCGACACAGGUCCUCGGGUAGAGUAUACUAAGGUGACGAGAUAACCAAGUUUAAGGAACUCGGCAAACUGAUCUCGUACGUUCGACAAUAAGAGAUGCCUUUGUACUAUUUAGUAUGAGGGUGGCACAGAAUCAGGGAGUGCGACUGUUUACUCAAAACACAGCAGCCUGCUAACACUAACGUGGUCGUAUAGGUUGUGAUUCCUGUCCGGUGUCUCGCGAUAAAGUUAUGGUGUGUAUGGCUUACCAUGUACAUUGAACUAGAAGUCGAGAUAAACGACGGUCUUAACUAUAAGGAUCCUAAGGUAGCAAAAUGCCACUCAGAGACUUAGUAUGACACAUAUGUAACCCAUAUGAUUCUAAAGUCCUGGAGAGAGACAAGUGAUCAACACACUCUCUCCUGAGCGAUGCUCCUACUGUCUUAAACUUGGGCUCGGUGAAAUUGAAUUAGCCGUGCAGAUGCGGUUUACCACCAGAUAGACGGGAAGACCCUAUGCAACUUUACUAUAGCUAGGCAUUGUACUAGGCCAUCACUUGUCACAGGUAUGAGGUAGCUGAUAAGGCGUAAGUGAGAGACCUCAACAAGUCAUGGUCAGACUUACCUUAGUAUGAAACUAAGGGACAUUGCCUAGUGGGUAGUUUUACUGGGACGGUACCCUCCAAGAAAGCAUCGGAGGGGUCCAAUAGGUACACAUAGCUUAGCCGGAGACUAAGUGGCUAUGAAGAGCCAAUAACAGCAUAAUGGCAAAAGUGUGCUAAACUGUAAGACUGACAGGUCAAUCAGGUACGUAAGUAGGGCAUAGUGAACCGAUAGUAUGUUAUGGUACAGCUAUCGUUCAUCGGAUAAGUUACGCUAGGGAUAACAGGCUGAUAGCGCGAAAGAGUUCAUAUCGUAAGCGCUGUUUGGCACCUCGAUGUCGACUCAUCACAUCCUCCCGGUGUAUCAGCUGGGAAGGGUUCAACUGUUCGUUGAUUAAAGUGGUACGUGAGUUGGGUUUAAUACGACGUGAGUCAGUAUAGUCCCUAUCUUCUGGUGGGACAUAUAGGCGAAGAAGAACAUCUGGUUAGUACGAAAGGACCAUCAGGUGCGCACCUCUGGUGUAUCUGCUAUAGUUCAUUGACUGUACUGCAGAGUAGCUACGUGCGUUAAGGAUAAGACCUGAAAGCAUAUAAGGUCGAAGCUGCUCUUUGGAGACUAAACAGCAACGGGAUGUAGACCACGUCCUUGAUAGGUCACAUGUGUAAGCUCCGUUAAGGAGUGAGCUGAGUGAUACUAAUGUGUUGCAUGACUUGACGAUACCAC